GCGGACGACGCAGCGGAGAUCUACGACGGAGCGAGAGCCGAAUUUCCUCUCACAUUCGGUAAUCAAUCCAAAUCUCAAACCCCUCUCGAAGCCAUCCACAAUACGACCCGUCGUAACCAGAACCUUCAACAACAGCAACGACAACCACCACCCUCCUCCGCCGACCUCCCUUCUCUCUCCUCCUCCUCCUCCAAAACCUGGCUCAAUUCCCUCCGUACCGCCAAAACCCCCAACCCUAACCCUAACCCUAGCGAUUCGGAUGCAACCCUUAUCUGACCGCCUCGUCCACCGCAGCCUGAUUCGGCCUCCGACGACGACAGCGAUGCCCUCAUCGGACCGCCGCCGCCUCCCGGGAGUGCCGAGAGCGACGACG
This 373-nucleotide long non-coding RNA is filed under the name Rosa chinensis. RNAcentral describes it as "sRNA RchiOBHm_Chr6g0286211". The record is from RNAcentral. Lineage: Eukaryota; Viridiplantae; Streptophyta; Magnoliopsida; Rosales; Rosaceae.